This 279-nucleotide ribosomal RNA is filed under the name uncultured bacterium. RNAcentral describes it as "partial 16S ribosomal RNA". It matches the Rfam family "Bacterial small subunit ribosomal RNA", at positions 506 to 784 of the family's 1533-position model. The record is from RNAcentral.
UGCCAGCCGCCGCGGUAAUACGGAGGGUGCAAGCGUUAAUCGGAAUUACUGGGCGUAAAGAGUACGUAGGCGGCUUUUCAAGUCGGGUGUGAAAUCCCUGAGCUUAACCCAGGAACUGCAUUCGAUACUGGAUCGCUAGAGUAUAUUAGAGGAUAGUGGAACUUCAAGUGUAGCGGUGAAAUGCGUAGAUAUUUGAAGGAACACCAAUGGCGAAGGCAGCUAUCUGGAAUAAUACUGACGCUGAGGAGCGAAAGCUAGGGGAGCAAACAGGAUUAGAUA